This 786-nucleotide ribosomal RNA is filed under the name uncultured bacterium. RNAcentral describes it as "bacterial SSU rRNA". It matches the Rfam family "Bacterial small subunit ribosomal RNA", at positions 100 to 890 of the family's 1533-position model. The record is from RNAcentral.
CACGGGUGCGUAACGCGUAUGCAAUCUACCUUUUACAGAGGGAUAGCCCAGAGAAAUUUGGAUUAAUACCUCAUAGUGUAUUGAGUUGGCAUCAACUUAAUACUAAAGUCACAACGGUAAAAGAUGAGCAUGCGUCCCAUUAGCUAGUUGGUAAGGUAACGGCUUACCAAGGCAACGAUGGGUAGGGGUCCUGAGAGGGAGAUCCCCCACACUGGUACUGAGACACGGACCAGACUCCUACGGGAGGCAGCAGUGAGGAAUAUUGGUCAAUGGACGCAAGUCUGAACCAGCCAUGCCGCGUGCAGGAUGACGGUCCUAUGGAUUGUAAACUGCUUUUGUACAGGAAGAAACAGUUCUACGUGUAGAACCUUGACGGUACUGUAAGAAUAAGGAUCGGCUAACUCCGUGCCAGCAGCCGCGGUAAUACGGAGGAUCCAAGCGUUAUCCGGAAUCAUUGGGUUUAAAGGGUCCGUAGGCGGGUUAAUAAGUCAGUGGUGAAAGCCCAUCGCUCAACGAUGGAACGGCCAUUGAUACUGUUAGUCUUGAAUUAUUAGGAAGUAACUAGAAUAUGUAGUGUAGCGGUGAAAUGCUUAGAGAUUACAUGGAAUACCAAUUGCGAAGGCAGGUUACUACUAAUGGAUUGACGCUGAUGGACGAAAGCGUGGGUAGCGAACAGGAUUAGAUACCCUGGUAGUCCACGCCGUAAACGAUGGAUACUAGCUGUUCNGAGCAAUCUGAGUGGCUAAGCGAAAGUGAUAAGUAUCCCACCUGGGGAGUACGUUCGCA